Molecule: ribosomal RNA, 592 nt
Filed under: Heterodrilus decipiens
Lineage: Eukaryota; Metazoa; Annelida; Clitellata; Tubificida; Naididae
Description: partial 16S ribosomal RNA
Rfam family: Bacterial large subunit ribosomal RNA
Source: RNAcentral
UCAAAAACAUAUUCAUAAGCAGACCCUUCCUUUUCAUUUAUGAAAAGCCCUGCCCAGUGAAAUUUACUUCAACGGCUGCGGUAUCCUGACCGUACUAAGGUAGCGUAAUCACUUGUCUAUUUAUUGUAGUCCUGUAUGAGCGGGUAAACGAAUAUAAUACUGUCUCAGAAGAAGCCCUAAAAAUUAACCUUUAGAGUGAAAAGGCCUAACUAGUAAAGAAGGACAAGAAGACCCUAUAGAUCUUAUUUUCAUAAAUCCCCUCCUCUUUAAUUUCUUAUCUUUAUCUUUAUACGCUUUACAAAUCUUUCUAUUUACCAGGGUUUUAGAAAUUUGGAUGGGGCGUCCCGAGCACCCUUUAUUCUACAACUCCUUAUAAAUCCACCCGAGCCCCAACUCCCCCCUCACCUAACCUCAUUUUCUUUAUGAAUUACGACAACUAAAGUUACCUUAGGGAUAACAGGCUAAUUCUUCUUAAGAGCCCAUAUUCACAGAAGAGCUUGGCACCUCGAUGUUGGCUUAGGAUACGCUCUUGACGCAGCCGUCAAGUCAGCUCAGUUUGUUCAACUAAUAAUAUCCUACGUGAUCUGAGUUC